This 589-nucleotide ribosomal RNA is filed under the name uncultured bacterium. Its description in RNAcentral is "bacterial SSU rRNA". It matches the Rfam family "Bacterial small subunit ribosomal RNA", at positions 337 to 917 of the family's 1533-position model. The record is from RNAcentral.
UCCUACGGGAGGCAGCAGUAGGGAAUCUUCCGCAAUGGACGAAAGUCUGACGGAGCAACGCCGCGUGAGUGAUGAAGGCUUUCGGGUCGUAAAACUCUGUUGUUAGGGAAGAACAAGUGCUAGUUGAAUAAGCUGGCACCUUGACGGUACCUAACCAGAAAGCCACGGCUAACUACGUGCCAGCAGCCGCGGUAAUACGGAGGGUGCGAGCGUUAAUCGGAAUUACUGGGCGUAAAGCGCAUGCAGGCGGCCUGUUAAGUCAGAUGUGAAAGCCCGGGGCUUAACCUCGGAAUUGCAUUUGAAACUGGCAGGCUAGAGUCUUGUAGAGGGGGGUAGAAUUUCAGGUGUAGCGGUGAAAUGCGUAGAGAUCUGAAGGAAUACCAGUGGCGAAGGCGGCCCCCUGGACAAAGACUGACGCUCAGAUGCGAAAGCGUGGGGAGCAAACAGGAUUAGAUACCCUGGUAGUCCACGCCGUAAACGAUGUCUACUUGGAGGUUGUGGCCUUGAGCCGUGGCUUUCGGAGCUAACGCGUUAAGUAGACCGCCUGGGGAGUACGGUCGCAAGAUUAAAACUCAAAUGAAUUGACGGA